This 320-nucleotide ribosomal RNA is filed under the name uncultured Flavobacteriaceae bacterium. RNAcentral describes it as "bacterial SSU rRNA". It matches the Rfam family "Bacterial small subunit ribosomal RNA", at positions 439 to 757 of the family's 1533-position model. The record is from RNAcentral. Lineage: Bacteria; Pseudomonadati; Bacteroidota; Flavobacteriia; Flavobacteriales; Flavobacteriaceae.
UACNGGAAGAAACACACCUACGUGUAGGUGCUUGACGGUACUGUAAGAAUAAGCACCGGCUAACUCCGUGCCAGCAGCCGCGGUAAUACGGAGGGUGCAAGCGUUAUCCGGAAUCAUUGGGUUUAAAGGGUCCGCAGGCGGUCAAUUAAGUCAGAGGUGAAAUCCCAUAGCUCAACUAUGGAACUGCCUUUGAUACUGGUUGACUUGAGUUAUACGGAAGUAGAUAGAAUAAGUAGUGUAGCGGUGAAAUGCAUAGAUAUUACUUAGAAUACCGAUUGCGAAGGCAGUCUACUACGUAUAUACUGACGCUCAUGGACGAA